Long non-coding RNA from Acipenser ruthenus (sterlet), 840 nucleotides. RefSeq lists it as uncharacterized. NCBI's taxonomy places the organism in Eukaryota, Metazoa, Chordata, Actinopteri, Acipenseriformes, Acipenseridae. The record is from RefSeq and is a predicted model, not a curated record. The transcript has 3 exons.
CACGGCGAAUACCGGUGGCAGACAGAGGAGUAGGCUGUCCAUUAUGGCACAGUACCCGUGCAGCGUGAGGAGCUGAUUCACCAUUCCUGGACGGGCUUUUGUCCCCAAACCAGAGGUGGGUGUCGGGGUUGUGCACUUCACCCCACUUCUACAGCCGCAGAUCAACCAGCCAUUUAAGAUGGUGGAAAAAGUCGUCAGAAAUGUCUUCCAGUUUAGAAAAAAAUACUGUCGGAGAGGGAUUGAGUAAACAAUUUCUACAGCAGAAUGUUAUUUCCAGAAGCCCGGCGCUCGCAGCUUGCAGAACAGAUGAUACUCACAGCCGACGUGGAUCCAACCCUCCGUCCGACGGAACUGUCCAUUUCCCAUUUCAGAAACCUUGCUGAGGCUUACAGCAGACUGUGUGAGUAAGACGCAGGUCUCUUCAGCUAUGAGUUCAGAGAUGAGCUGAGGCAGAAGAAACAGAGACGCCCCGGCUGCACGAUAGAAGAGGAAGCAGAAAGAUACAGGCAUUAAAACAGGAAGAUAAUGGGUUCUGUAAAACAUGGGCCACUUAUUAGCUUUGACAUUUCACUAUAAUGGCACAUAAAUAUUUCAAAAAUAAAGAUUAUUUUUAUAAAGAAGUAACAUGUCUUGGUAAAAAAAAUGAAAUGAUCUUUUUAACUGUGGAUGGUGAUUGCACACUAUCUGUAGGAUAGAGUAUAGCACAAACUGAUUUUAAAACUGACAUUUGAAUGUGUUCUGCGUAUGAUUCGUUUUCUUUAUAAAAAAUGUUGAUGUGCUGAGGGUCAGAUAUUCUUAUACAGAACCUUCAGCGCAUGAAAAGUGGACAAUUGAUCAGCC